ACCCCGAUAAAUACGCGUGAGUAAACCGUUGCAUCAUUUAAUAACGAACCAUUAAAAUUGAUAAUGAUGAAAAUCCUUUUAUAUAUGACUCCUUUUUAAUAUUUAAAGUCUAUGAUAUCAUGUUUACUUAGUUAAUCAAAGACUUGGAUUUAGGAGUUUAUGGCACAUUGUAAAAAAGGAUUUUUUGACGUCAACUAAUAUUGAUCUAGGUUCAGUUAACUUUCAUCGAAAUUAGGUCACUCUUACGUUGCUACGCUAGGCCUUAAAUCUAUUUAAAAUUAACUGUAACCUUAAUGUUGAUUUGUCCAUAUUUUACGGUUUAUAUUGGUGAUGUCAGCAUGAAAGUCGCAGCUUAAAAAUGUCUGUUUUUUCUUAUUCAGUCAAAAGCAUUAUUCGACGAAUGAACGAAGAUGUGGACAUUAUUGCUCCAUAAACGUAAUUAAUUGUGACGGACAGGUAAUGUGUUUUUGGAAUAAAGAGGCUAAAGAGACAAAAAAAGACGAAAAAAAUAGGCAAGUUGAAGAAUAAGCAAAAAUAGGCAAGUUAAAGACCUUUGUCAAGACAGAAUUCAUUAUUAUUGAAAAAGAGCAGCACACGACGCUAACUUCAAUUUGGCUGAAUGAAAAAUUCCAUGGCAUGACAGCAUUAAAAAUGACUCAAAUGACUGUAACUUCAAUGCUUCGUCGCUAACUUCAUAUCAUUACAAGUAAAACCAAAAGAUGGCUUCAGGCGUAAAGUUUUAUUAUGUGGAAGUUAAUGAUUUCAUCGCAAAGAAACAAACAACCCAUCCAGAAUUGUCAGCAGAAUGGCUUAAACUAGAAGAACUU
Trichoplusia ni (cabbage looper) is the source of this 827-nucleotide long non-coding RNA. RefSeq lists it as uncharacterized. The transcript is spliced from 2 exons. Lineage: Eukaryota; Metazoa; Arthropoda; Insecta; Lepidoptera; Noctuidae. The record is from RefSeq and is a predicted model, not a curated record.